This 312-nucleotide ribosomal RNA is filed under the name uncultured bacterium. RNAcentral's name for it is "bacterial SSU rRNA". It matches the Rfam family "Bacterial small subunit ribosomal RNA", at positions 32 to 337 of the family's 1533-position model. The record is from RNAcentral.
AAUCAACGCUGGCGGCGUGCCUCAGACAUGCAAGUCGAACGAUUAAACUUUCCUUCGGGAAAGAUAUAAAGUGGCGCACGGGUGAGUAACACGUAGGUAAUGUACCUUUGGGUGGGGAAUAACCAUCGGAAACGAUGGCUAAUACCGCAUAAUGCAGCGGCAUCGCAAGAUGACAGUUGUUAAAGAUUUAUCGCCUAAAGAGCAGCCUGCGGCAGAUUAGGUAGNGGUAAGGUAAUGGCUUACCAAGCCUGCGAUCUGUAACCGACCUGAGAGGGUGGUCGGUCACACUGACACUGAAUAACGGGUCAGACU